RNAcentral lists this ribosomal RNA (253 nucleotides) under uncultured bacterium. RNAcentral's name for it is "partial 16S ribosomal RNA". It matches the Rfam family "Bacterial small subunit ribosomal RNA", at positions 524 to 776 of the family's 1533-position model. The record is from RNAcentral.
UACGAAGGGGGCUAGCGUUGUUCGGAUUUACUGGGCGUAAAGCGCACGUAGGCGGGUUGUUAAGUCAGGGGUGAAAUCCUGGAGCUCAACUCCAGAACUGCCUUUGAUACUGGCAACCUAGAGGCUGGAAGAGGUUAGUGGAAUUCCCAGUGUAGAGGUGAAAUUCGUAGAUAUUGGGAAGAACACCCGUGGCGAAGGCGGCUAACUGGUCCAGAUCUGACGCUGAGGUGCGAAAGCGUGGGGAGCAAACAGG